RNAcentral lists this ribosomal RNA (290 nucleotides) under uncultured bacterium. Its description in RNAcentral is "partial 16S ribosomal RNA". It matches the Rfam family "Bacterial small subunit ribosomal RNA", at positions 773 to 1060 of the family's 1533-position model. The record is from RNAcentral.
GUGGAUUAGAUACCCUAGUAGUCCACGCUGUAAACGAUGGGCACUAGGUGUCCGGGGUAUUGACCCCCUGGGUGCCGCAGCUAACGCAUUAAGUGCCCCGCCUGGGGAGUACGGUCGCAAGAUUAAAACUCAAAGGAAUUGACGGGGGCCCGCACAAGCGGUGGAGCAUGUGGUUCAAUUCGACGCAACGCGAAGAACCUUACCUGGGCUAGACAACGGCGGACCGUCCUAGAAAUAGGAUCUUCCCUUCGGGGACCACCGGUUCAGGUGCUGCACGGCUGUCGCCAACU